RNAcentral lists this ribosomal RNA (274 nucleotides) under uncultured bacterium. Its description in RNAcentral is "partial 16S ribosomal RNA". It matches the Rfam family "Bacterial small subunit ribosomal RNA", at positions 523 to 796 of the family's 1533-position model. The record is from RNAcentral.
AUACGGAGGGCGCGAACGUUGCUCGGAAUCAUUGGGCGUAAAGCGCACGUAGGCGGCCUGAUAAGUCGGAUGUGAAAGCCCACGGCUCAACCGUGGAAGUGCAUUCGAAACUGUCAGGCUCGAGUAUGGGAGAGGGUUGCGGAAUUCCCGGUGUAGAGGUGAAAUUCGUAGAUAUCGGGAGGAACACCAGCGGCGAAGGCGGCAGCCUGGACCAAUACUGACGCUGAGGUGCGAAAGCGUGGGGAGCAAACAGGAUUAGAAACCCGAGUAGUCC